UAGUGAAGCCACUUUGCCAACACAGGCAUCAGCUCACCAGUUUCUAGACAGUGGCUGGAAGUGGUGGAGGGCAGAGCCUGCUGGACAUUGUUCUCAGCAUCUAGCUCUGCCACAGCAGAAAGAUUGCCUCCAGUCCAACCCCAAGCUUCAACAUGCCAGCCUGUUUUAAAGUUGCAUGCCGAAGCUUGGGGUUCAGCAUGCAUCUUUAAUGCAGCAUGUUUUAAAGAUGAAGUAAAAAACCUGGUGUGUGUAGAUUGUGUGGCUCAUUAUAUUUACAUCUCCUUGUGUCUUGCUCUGUCCUUUGGAGGAUAAAGGGGGCAGAUCCUCUGGUGCAACCAGCUAUGAAGGGAAGAACCAGUUCAGCCCAUUUGUUCUCUUUCAGCCUACAGAAAUAUCUGAAGAGCAGAAACCCGGUGUCCACCAUGUUCUACAGAAGACAAACACACUCUGCAGGCCAAAAAGAAGCAUCACAGAUAUUUCGUGGGUUGCAUGCAAUGCUGUCCCUGGAGAGCAGUAACUGAAAAGAGUGAAGGCAGUGAUAGCCCAGUUCAGGCACGUUGCUGAGGAGCAGAGCAUUCACCAGGUGUCUGUAAGGGGGGGGUCUCGAGCUGAUUCCUGUUCAAACUCCAUGUGCCACCUGCACAGCUCAGGGCACCUGCGCUGCGCGGCUGCAGGCUGCGCCCUGCAGAUCUCUGAGGGGACAAGCCCAGGCACACUUGCCAGCUUAGUGUGUGUCCCAGAUUGUCUGGAUCAGCCAGCCAUGAUCACAUCUGAGCCCACCAGGAGGGGCAGCAAGGCCUGCUCUUCAUCUGUAGAGUGUGGAUGGCCCAAAGCACCCAGAAGUUGCACAGUGGAGUUGGAAGAUGGUGGCAUAGAAGGAAGGUUGGAGGGAUGAGUCAAAAAACGUGCUGUGCUUUUCACCUCAUGGUGCUUUUGGACUUAACAGCACUUAAAAACCUUUCCAGGCUUCUUGCUUCAGUUUGGGAGAGCCUCUGAACCCCACUGAGAAUCCUUUGUACUGCUGAUUUUGUUGUUAAAUCUGCUCAGGUCCUGAAUGUUUCUGUUGUAAAUUUUCAAGCUGUGUGGUUAUGCAGAAGCAAUAGAAAGAGGGUCUCUUGCUUAUUGGGGCUGAGAUCAUAAUUCCAAUUCUAUAGGAAUUAAAAGUGGGGAAUCCUUUGCUUAGAAAAUAGUGGAAAAACAGAAAAUAAGAGCCAUGAGGAAAGGUCUGUGAACUGCUGGCCAUAUAGUUCAGGAAGGAAAGCAAGCACAGGGUGUUAUAUGGUUGCUGUGAUGGUCAUCUGUUGUACAAGCUAAAAACACUGUGGACCUUAAAGACAUCUCUCUUGAAUUCUAAAAUGCCUUAACUAUUCUGAGGCAUUUGUACAGCUGAACAGACUCAAGGUCUCUGAAAUAAAUUGGAAAUACCUGUAAUUCUGCAGAAAAUUAGAGAUGAGUUAUGUAGUCCCAAAGCAGAGGAAGAAAUAAAAAGGAGUCAUAAAACUUCAGGUCUCUGGGAAAGCUCUGGGUGAAGAUGACUUUCUAAUAGAAUUUUCUAAACUCUCUCAAUCUCACUUGGCUUCUGACAUAUGGAAAAAUUUUUGAAAGGCCAAAGCAGAAGGGUUCAAUUUCAGCAUGAAUUGCAGUGUUGGGUUUUCUUAACUCUCUCUCCUAGGAAAUAACUCACCAAUGCACCAUUCUCAAUAAUUAAAUUACAGGCCAAUUCUUCUGACUAAUGUAACUCAGAAGAUGCAGGUUAAAACAGCAUCUAGAAAAUGUCUGAGCAGAGUACCUUAUGGACAAGAACUCAGCAUAUAGCUUGAGGUUGACAUUAAUCAGAAAGCUGCUAGAGAGUCUUAUAGGCCUGUUAUUAUAAUUUGCUAUUUUUAAAAUUCUCUGAAGUAAUCAGAAAAUCAACCAGCUCAACAUCCCUAAAGAGAGCUGCUUCCCACCCACCAGCAGUGGCUGACUUCACUGUUGACAUAAAAACCAUGAAGAUCUCAGUCUAGUAUUCUGCCAUGUAAUUGUAUCCUUAAUUUUGGCCUUGUUGAAAGUCUGCUGGAAAACUGAUCUUGUGUGUCCUCAUUAGAAGCAAUUCAUAUGUAAAUCAUUUAAGAUUUUUUUUAACUUAAAGAAAGAAAACAUUCCUGUGACUCAAACAUUCUGCAGGCUCUUGCUCCUCUUGCGGCUCCUGUGUGGCUGUGACUCCUAGGAAAUCUGUGCCUCCUGGCAAAUCAGAGUGGGAAGGUUGCUGGCCAGGCUCUCACCUUCUCUUGCCUUAGCUGGUGGAGAAAGCACCUGUCAAGAGACUUUAUCUUUUCCCAGCCUGGAGUCAGUCAUUGAAGGGAUGUGAGGUGAAGCUCUGCUCUAUUCUACACUCUUCUGCCUGGCAUACACUCGUGGAAGGUGCUUCACUCCCUUCAGCUAAUACUAGCCAUGUAAAUAACAGCUUUUCUGCAUAUUGGAAGGCUUAAUUUUUGCUCUUUUAUGUGCAAAAAUAAGUUGAAGUGGUAUUAGUGGAAUGACAUCCUAGUGUUAAAAUGGAAUGACGUUGAAAAAAACAUUAAAUAAACACGUCGGAUGACUUCUCUGGGCCUUUCUCAAUGAAACUGAUGAAGCAGCAUACGAGGUAACAGCCAAGUUUUUGUCUAAAAGUACAACUUUGAUAAAGUUUGGGCACCUAUUUCUUCUGAGUAUUUCUGGAGCUGGAAAUGGAAGUCAUCAUGAAAGUGUUGACAGCAAUUUGAAGGUGUAAAGGAAUACUGCAUCUUUACCAUGAUUUCUAUGUUUUUGAAUUGGAUGAGCUGAGCCCUUCACACUCUUAACUGUUCCUAAAAUACAAUGUCUGAGGUAUUUGUCUCUAAGAAAGCUGAGUUUUGUUGCUUAAGAAUAAAUUUUGAACUACUGCUGAAGGUGUUUGGAA
Molecule: long non-coding RNA, 2920 nt
Organism: Haemorhous mexicanus (house finch)
Lineage: Eukaryota; Metazoa; Chordata; Aves; Passeriformes; Fringillidae
Exons: 2
Source: RefSeq, a predicted model, not a curated record